AUUGAACGCUGGCGGCAUGCCUUACAUAUGCAAGUCGAACGGCAGCACGGGAGCAAUCCUGGUGGCAAGUGGCGAACGGGUGAGUAAUACAUCGGAACGUGCCCAAUCGUGGGGGAUAACGCAGCGAAAGCUGUGCUAAUACCGCAUACGAUCUACGGAUGAAAGCAGGGGAUCGCAAGACCUUGCGCGAAUGGAGCGGCCGAUGGCAGAUUAGGUAGUUGGUGAGGUAAAGGCUCACCAAGCCGUCGAUCUGUAGCUGGUCUGAGAGGACGACCAGCCACACUGGGACUGAGACACGGCCCAGACUCCUACGGGAGGCAGCAGUGGGGAAUUUUGGACAAUGGGCGAAAGCCUGAUCCAGCCAUGCCGCGUGCAGGAUGAAGGCCUUCGGGUUGUAAACUGCUUUUGUACGGAACGAAACGGCCUUUUCUAAUAAAGAGGGCUAAUGACGGUACCGUAAGAAUAAGCACCGGCUAACUACGUGCCAGCAGCCGCGGUAAUACGUAGGGUGCAAGCGUUAAUCGGAAUUACUGGGCGUAAAGCGUGCGCAGGCGGUUAUGUAAGACAGUUGUGAAAUCCCCGGGCUCAACCUGGGAACUGCAUCUGUGACUGCAUAGCUAGAGUACGGUAGAGGGGGAUGGAAUUCCGCGUGUAAAAUGAAAUGCGUAAAUAUGCGGAGGAACACCUAUGGCGAAGCAAUCUCCCUGGGAUCC
Molecule: ribosomal RNA, 713 nt
Filed under: uncultured Comamonadaceae bacterium
Lineage: Bacteria; Pseudomonadati; Pseudomonadota; Betaproteobacteria; Burkholderiales; Comamonadaceae
Description: bacterial SSU rRNA
Rfam family: Bacterial small subunit ribosomal RNA
Source: RNAcentral